Molecule: ribosomal RNA, 345 nt
Filed under: uncultured Rhodoferax sp.
Lineage: Bacteria; Pseudomonadati; Pseudomonadota; Betaproteobacteria; Burkholderiales; Comamonadaceae
Description: bacterial SSU rRNA
Rfam family: Bacterial small subunit ribosomal RNA
Source: RNAcentral
CACAGGUGCUGCAUGGCUGUCGUCAGCUCGUGUCGUGAGAUGUUGGUUAAGUCCCGCAACGAGCGCAACCCUUGUCAUUAGUUGCUACAUUCAGUUGGGCACUCUAAUGAGACUGCCGGUGACAAGCCGGAGGAAGUGGGGAUGACGUCAAGUCCUCAUGGCCCUUAUAGGUGGGGCUACACACGUCAUACAAUGGCUGGUACAAAGGGUUGCCAACCCGCGAGGGGGAGCCAAUCCCAUAAAGCCAGUCGUAGUCCGGAUCGUAGUCUGUAACUCGACUACGUGAAGUCGGAAUCGCUAGUAAUCGUGGAUCAGAAUGUCACGGUGAAUACGUUCCCGGGUCUU